UUAAUACAAGAUGGCAUCAUGAGUCCACAUGUUCACAUGAUUAAAGGUAUUCCGGUAGACGAUGGGGAUGCGUUCCAUUAGAUAGUAGGCGGGGUAACGGCCCACCUAGUCUUCGAUGGAUAGGGGUUCUGAGAGGAAGGUCCCCCACAUUGGAACUGAGACACGGUCCAAACUCCUACGGGAGGCAGCAGUGAGGAAUAUUGGUCAAUGGGCGAGAGCCUGAACCAGCCAAGUAGCGUGAAGGAUGACUGCCCUAUGGGUUGUAAACUUCUUUUAUAAAGGAAUAAAGUCGGGUAUGCAUACCCGUUUGCAUGUACUUUAUGAAUAAGGAUCGGCUAACUCCGUGCCAGCAGCCGCGGUAAUACGGAGGAUCCGAGCGUUAUCCGGAUUUAUUGGGUUUAAAGGGAGCGUAGAUGGAUGUUUAAGUCAGUUGUGAAAGUUUGCGGCUCAACCGUAAAAUUGCAGUUGAUACUGGAUAUCUUGAGUGCAGUUGAGGCAGGCGGAAUUCGUGGUGUAGCGGUGAAAUGCUUAGAUAUCACGAAGAACUCCGAUUGCGAAGGCAGCCUGCUAAGCUGCAACUGACAUUGAGGCUCGAGAGUGUGGGUAUCAAACAGGAUUAGAUACCCUGGUAGUCCACACGGUAAAC
Molecule: ribosomal RNA, 646 nt
Filed under: uncultured bacterium
Lineage: Bacteria
Description: bacterial SSU rRNA
Rfam family: Bacterial small subunit ribosomal RNA
Source: RNAcentral